CCUACGGGUGGCAGCAGUGGGGAAUAUUGCACAAUGGGGGAAACCCUGAUGCAGCAACGCCGCGUGAAGGAAGACGGCUUUCGGAUUGUAAACUUCUGUUCUCAGUGAAGAAUAAUGACGGUAGCUAAGGAGCAAGCCACGGCUAAACACGUGCCAGCAGCCGCGGUAAUAUGGAGGUGGCAAGCGUUGUCCGGAAUUACUGGGUGUAAAGGGAACGCAGGCGGGAAGCCAAGUCAGCUGUGAAACCCCCGGGCUUAACUUGUAAACUGCAGUUGAAACUGGUUGUCUUGAGUGAAGUAGAGGUUGGCGGAAUUCCGGGUGUAGCGGUGAAAUGCGUAGAUAUUCGGAGGAACACCGGUGGCGAAGGCGGCCAGCUGGGCUGUGACUGACGCUGAGGCUCGAAAGUGUGGGGAGCAAACAGGAUUAGAUACCCUUGUAGUC
Molecule: ribosomal RNA, 441 nt
Filed under: uncultured bacterium
Lineage: Bacteria
Description: partial 16S ribosomal RNA
Rfam family: Bacterial small subunit ribosomal RNA
Source: RNAcentral